RNAcentral lists this long non-coding RNA (229 nucleotides) under Vitis vinifera (wine grape). RNAcentral's name for it is "long non-coding RNA (VVIN_LNC007334)". The record is from RNAcentral. Lineage: Eukaryota; Viridiplantae; Streptophyta; Magnoliopsida; Vitales; Vitaceae.
CUUCUUCCAUUGGCUUUUUAGGGGCAUCCCACUUACUCGAAUUUGCUUAGAGCAUCACCUUCCUUGACUUUGACUAGAGAAUUCCCUUCAUUAAGUUUUUUAAGGGAAUUGUUUAGGGCAUCCCACUUCCUUAAGUUUGUUUAGGGUAUCCCUCAUCCUUCACCUCAUAAUCAGGAUGUCAUCCUAGGUUCUAUCUAAACAUAAUCAAUUGUUCCUGAUAUUGCUCAUC